Molecule: long non-coding RNA, 607 nt
Organism: Triticum aestivum (bread wheat)
Lineage: Eukaryota; Viridiplantae; Streptophyta; Magnoliopsida; Poales; Poaceae
Exons: 2
Source: RefSeq, a predicted model, not a curated record
UCCAGAGGCACGGCCCAAGCCCGCACCUUUCCCCUCCUCUCCCAAGGAAAUCUCCAAGCCCUAGUGCCUUCCCCGUCAUGGCGGCCGGACCACAGCGCUCCUCCCCUCCUCCGCCGCCACCCAUGCCGCCUGGACGCCGCCACCGCGACGACCAACCAGAGCGCUGCGUUGAAGACUCUGACUCCAAACGCCCCGAGGAAGAUCAACAAACAGCCACUCCAAACCCUGGACCAUCCCCAGCGCAAUACACCGAUGAAGAUCAGCCUGCCUGCACCUCAACAAACGCCCACUUCUAACCCUGGACCCUCCCCAGCGCAUGAUUUGCAGCUGGCUCAAAGGUGUGAGGUGACAGACAUCUUGGAAGAAUUGGAGCUCAACGCUACUCCCUCGUUGUCUUCAUGCGUUUCUUCUUUGACGCCUACUGGUUUACUUAUUAAAUAUAUUGUCAGAGUUGAUAAGGAGGAUUUUUUUUCAUAUAUAUCCUGAUCGAGGUGGACCAUUUCAGAGUUUACAGGAAGCUCAGCAAGCUAUUGACUCGUAUCAUGUUGUCGGGCGAAAAAACUUGUAAAGCCUAUCAAUUUCCUUAUAUUAGAUUUCUAUUUCUGUC